AAUUGGGAGAAAGUUGCACUUGCAGAUCUCAGGCAAUGCUAGAUUUCAGCAUCAGUGUCGGCCCUUGUGAAAAGAUAACUGCCCAGGUAGGAGAAGUGAUCGACACUUUCCAAAGUUACACCAUCGAGUUGGAUUUGUGGCACUGCCACAAAAGGGGUUGUUUUGUGCUUAUUGGUGCAGCACUUUGGGUUUUUUUGGGAUGUUGAGUGAUAGGCCAAGCUUUUUGUAAGCUUCUACAAAUAGAUUUAGGAUGGUUUGGAGGUUAUCCUCUGAGUGUGCACACACUACAUUGUCAUCAGUAUACUGAAGCUCUAUGACAGAAGUUACGGUAAACUUACUCUUUGCUUUCAGCCUACUCAGAUUAAAGUACUUUUCAUCAGUUCGAUAUAUGAUUUCUACUCCAGUGGGGAGUUUCCCUUUGACAAAGUGUAGGAUCAUGGCAAUGAGAAUAAUAAAUAGAGUCAGGGCGAUAACACAACUGUGUUUAACACCUGAUCCCACUGUGAAUGGUUCACUUUGAAAGCCAUUGUUAUCUGCGAUUGCUGCUGUCAUAUAAUCAUGGAGGAGUUGAAGGAUGUUCACAAAUUUAUCUGGGCAGCCAAUUUUCAGAAGGACAGGUCACAGGGCGUUACGAUUUACAAUGUGGAAGUUCUUAGUCAGAUCAAAAACGCCAUAUGCAGUGGUUGGUUUUGCUCUCUGCAUUUUUCUUGAAGCUGUCGAGCGGUGAAAACCAUGUCCUGUAGGUUUAUUGUUGCUCAAUCAAUUGGCUACUCUUUCUUCCCUUUAGCUCUCGUGCUUCUGGAUUCUAUGCUUCCGUGAUACCAGUCUUCAACUUGCCCCACAAAGCUAUUCCUGGCCUUAGUUUUAGGCUUUAAUUCCAGCUGGACUGACAGCUUUCCCUUCCCUCAUACUUGAUACCGAGAGCUUUGUUCUAUAAGCACCCAGAAUGUGUGAAAAUUUUGUGCUACUUCAGCAACUCAGGCAAUUGGUGUCAAAGGCCUCACUUCUUCUGCAAGCACAAGAAAAUAUUGAUUGCCCACUUGGCAUUCUCUUUCAAAUGGGUGUGACGUUGGCCACUGUAUUAACUGCGGGCAGAAACCUGAUUAGAAGCAAGUGUUACCAUAUGCAAAUUGAGAUGAAUAGCUUGGCAGGUUAUUGCUAUUCAUUGCCUAUUACAUGAAAAGCAAAGGCAGGACAAGGAUAAAUGUAACUGUGAUAAAGAUAUCUAUGCUCAAAUCAUUUUAGUGAGCAGCAGCAAUUGUAGCAAUCCUGGCAAGCAUUAAAUUAGUUUUCCAAGUUUAUUUUCUUGCAUUACUUGCAACGGUCCAGAGGUACACAAUCUGGAUGGUUAUCAUAGGAUAGUGAAUGCAUGACCUUUUUAUAAAUCAAUGCUUGGGAAAGGACUGGGAACUUGUGGUCCUCUGGAUAUUGUUCAACUUCAGCCCCAUCAACCUCAGAAAUCAUGGCUAAUGGUCAGGAUGAUUGAAGUUGCAGUCCAACUUUAUCUGCAGGGCCUCUGCUUCCUCAUUGCUAUCAGGGCUUUGCUUAACACACUGCUGUCAUUUUCCUUGCUUAGUCUGUUUAUUACCUUUUUGAUAAGCUCCAAAGACUGAGCAUUGCAGCAUCUUACGGGUGAAUUUGUCUUAGUGGUUGAUAGUGGUGACAUCACUGACUUGGUGGGAAUUUGUGUCCAACAACUGGAUGCACAACAUUGGCUGCACCUGGUUUAGAAGAAGCCAGUGGCUGCAGAAGAUGCAUGGUCACUUUUGAUUCAAUAGAUGCAGCACUUGGGCAGAGGGCUUUAUACCUUACACUACAUACCUUACACUAUAAAUCUCUUUAUGUUGCUCCAGGACAGUGCUGUGACAGCGCCUUAGCAGCAAGGCUGCUAACCAUGGUCCUGACUCAGUGGCUUUGUCCAGGGUCCUGGUCUUGUCUAGAUUUCCCUUCUAAUUCAGAACCCUUGGGCCUACCAGUCUCCAACCGGCUUGGGUCACCAUCUUCUCCUGUCUUUGGUGGACAUCACUAUUGUGGCUGUAUGGUACAACUCAAACUGUUUUUCAGGAUGCAGCAGAACAGUCAUGUGUUUUAAUUUUAGUUAAUGUGUUCCUUUUGCUACCUGCUGCAAGAAAGAGGGAGAGAGAGUGCAGAUUCCCUUUAAACCCUGCAAGUGAUCUGAGGCAGCCCUUGUCAUUUCUCUUGUCAGGGGAAGUUAAUCAAACACACUGACCUCGUGCAAUGUAAGCUGACUCCUGCCACAUUUUGUUAUUGGCAUUACUGAAAGACUUUGAGGGGCAGGCAGUUGGGAGUGCUCUGUAGCUUGAGCCCCAACCUCCCCACUAGAAGCAGAUGGUGAAUGUUCUGCUACAACCUCGUCACUCUCAGCUGUCUUGGUUUGGUUGGUUUGGAGUUAACUGCUGCAGCUACUUGCAGGGAGUUAGGUUUAUGAGCAAGCAACUCCAGUUCCCUUAGCACAGCUUUUCCCAACUUGAUGCCCUUCAGAUAUAGGUUUUACUAGAACUCCCACCAGAUCUGGCCAGCAUGGCCAAUGGUCAGGGAUAAAUUGAGUUGUAAUCCAAUGACAAAUGGAAGCUACCAGGUUGAAAAAGUCUGCUCUAACAUUUACAAAGCUGGUUCAGCCAAACACACAUUUACAUUCCUUGAUUUCUCUGUGCUAUGAUUCCUUUAGCAGCUGAUGACUGGCAGUUAAAUGUGUAAAUGGACUCUGUGGAAUAGCGUUGUGCUUUGAAGUGAUAGGAAGCAAUGUGAAAGGUGCAAGAUUUGUGAUGGCUCAGACCCAGUGUGGUGUGCUGGUUAAAGGUUUUAAGACAGCAAGACCCUAGAUCCUCACCUAACUAUGAAACUCACUGGCUGACCUUGGGCCACACACUUGCACACCUGUUAAAGGAAUCAAAGCACUUGAGGGUAAAAGAGGUUGAGGGAAAGAGAAGAAGUGCCAAGUACUUUGCCUUGUGUGCCUUGGAGGGUAGGUGAAACAUAAAUAUUACAGUGAUAUUUAAAACCCACACAUGUUACUUGUUGCAGACAUCAAGGUAUGAUCAUGUGUGCUUGAACCAAUCUGUUUCCUAUUGUUCUGAGUGGUGCAUCCUCUGAUUUGUGGAGGUUCUCAAAACACUGCAAUUAUCCAGGCAUUCUGCAUGUGUAGCUUCUAUGUGCAGAGAAAAGGAGCAGCGGGAUCAUGCUGAUACUAAUGUUGGGGUGUUUGGGGUAUUUUGUUUUGGAGGGGGCUGUUGCUUCUUUUCAACCUUAUUUUAGAUCUUGUUGUGAUUUAUGUGGAAAUUGUUCAGUUUGGCUAUGUAUUUAUUUAUGUAUUAUUUAUUGUUUAUGACUGCUUUUGCUGUGUUGUAGUUACAUAUUUUUUCAUGUUGAAAGCCCCCUUGGGCAUGGUUUGAACUCUGGAAAGGUGGCAUACAAAUAAAAUUAUGUAUGUAUGUAUCUAAUAUUUUCACUGAACAUGCCCCUUGGACGUUUGCUUAUUGGCACAGAGACACCUGCAUUGGAAAGCCUGUACACAUUAUCUUCCACUUGUAAAAGUGAGCAAGCAUGGAGUACUAACAUAAUACUGAGAGGGUGCUCUGCGUUGUCAUCAGUUAUAAUCAGUUUUGCUUACUUGUGUGGAUUCCUAUCCCACCCUCCUUCACUCAAAUAAUCCUAGGUGGAUCACAUAAUGAAAUCAGAGCAUACAAUCCACAACAACCAAAGCAUUGAUAUGCAGCAAUAAGCAUCUAAUAAGCAAAAUUUUUAAGAUUUGCAGCAAGAAUACCAAACCCUACCCACAAAAAUGUACCACUACUGGCCUUCCCAGUGUUAUGUCUACAGCUGUUCUUCUCUUCAGGUUUAUGGGCUGCCAAAGCAGUGUACAAUAAAAUUAAAAUGAAACUCAAUAAAAACGACAACAAAGUAACCAUGGCAUAAAACACAUACAGAUGGGUACAAGACAGUCUAAAGCUUACAAACCCAGAGAUUUAAGAGCUUCAUUUGUUUUAUUACAUAUUUAUAUAAUAUUUAUUUGUAAUACAUACAAAUGAAAAUAAAAUUAACAGGUAAGUAUCCAAGGGGGCAGGGACGCGGGUGGAGCUGUCGUCUAAACCACAGAGCCUAGGGCUUGGCGAUCAGAAGGUCAGCGGUUCGAAUCCCCGCAAUGGAGUGAGCGCCCGUUGUUUGGUCCCUGCUCCUGCCAACCUAGCAGUUCGAAAGCACGUCAAAGUGCAAGUAGAUAAAUAGGUACCCCUCCGGCAGGAAGGUAAACGGUGUUUCCGUGCACUGCUCUGGUUUGCCAGAAGUGCCUUAGUCAUGCGGGCCACAUGACCUGGAAGCAGUCGGCAGACAAACGCCGGCUGCCUCGGCCACUAAAGCGAGAUGAACACCGCAACCCCAGAGUCGUCAGUGACUGGACCUAACAGUCAGGGGUCCUUUUACCCAAGGGGGCAAUGCAAGAGAUGGAAUCUUAAACAGCAGCACUGCAACCAUUUGUUGCAGAUCUCAGGCCUAUCUUUUAUGGAAAGCAAAUGUUUGGGUGUUAUUUUGCGAGACCAAAUAAUCCCUUGCCACACACAAAAGCAACCUCUUCAUUGCUGCCUGAAGUAUUACAGCCUGGGCAGGGGUAACAAUAACUCAUAAUUAAGCUGUGAUGGUCCACGGCCCUUGCAACUUUACAGCUUGUAGUCACAGUUUUAUUAAGUAAACAUGCGUCUCCCUCCUCUUUUGUAUUCAGGGCACUAUUUUUUAAUUUGUGAUGAAUACCUAGAAAUGUCACUCAUCUUGUUCAGGUGUACUUCCAGGGCUGUGAGUUUUAAAUGGUAAUGGGAUUUGUAUCUACCCACUUAUGAAUGCUUUCCAAUUUGUCUCUCUCCUCCUGUUUCACUUUCAAAUAGAACUGGCAUUAUUUCCUAUGAGUGCAUUCCAUUAUUUAUCAUAAAGCUUGCUUGUGCUUUUUUAAUUGGUUUUUGGUUUUCUUCAAUCUCACUGUAAUAAUUUGAUUUUUGUCUCCAAUAUUCAGUCAGGCUUACCAUAUGUUGAACAUCGUUUACACUUUUUUCUUUUCUUUUAAAGCUUCUUGCUGUGGUUGUGUUUU
Molecule: long non-coding RNA, 5095 nt
Filed under: Podarcis lilfordi (Lilford's wall lizard)
Lineage: Eukaryota; Metazoa; Chordata; Lepidosauria; Squamata; Lacertidae
Source: RNAcentral